ACCACCAUGUCCGCGAUUAUUUUUCGGAGAGAGGGAGACCGAGAGAGAGAAAAGGGACUGACUGUGGCUAAUUAUGAGACGUAAUUACGGGGGGUGCGACGCGAAGGACUUAGAAACAAAUAAAUGGUAGGGGCGAACGAAAGAACAUAC
Molecule: non-coding RNA, 150 nt
Organism: Caenorhabditis elegans
Lineage: Eukaryota; Metazoa; Nematoda; Chromadorea; Rhabditida; Rhabditidae
Source: Ensembl